ACGCCGCGUGAGUGAUGAAGGUUUUCGGAUCGUAAAGCUCUGUUGUUAGGGAAGAACAAGUGCAAGAGUAACUGCUUGCACCUUGACGGUACCUAACCAGAAAGCCACGGCUAACUACGUGCCAGCAGCCGCGGUAAUACGUAGGUGGCAAGCGUUGUCCGGAAUUAUUGGGCGUAAAGGGCUCGCAGGCGGUUUCUUAAGUCUGAUGUGAAAGCCCCCGGCUCAACCGGGGAGGGUCAUUGGAAACUGGGAAACUUGAGUGCAGAAGAGGAGAGUGGAAUUCCACGUGUAGCGGUGAAAUGCGUAGAGAUGUGGAGGAACACCAGUGGCGAAGGCGACUCUCUGGUCUGUAACUGACGCUGAGGAGCGAAAGCGUGGGGAGCGAACAGGAUUAGAUACCCUGGUAGUCCACGCCGUAAACGAUGAGUGCUAAGUGUUAGGGGGUUUCCGCCCCUUAGUGCUGCAGCUAACGCAUUAAGCAC
Molecule: ribosomal RNA, 482 nt
Filed under: Bacillus sp. (in: firmicutes)
Lineage: Bacteria; Bacillati; Bacillota; Bacilli; Caryophanales; Bacillaceae
Description: bacterial SSU rRNA
Rfam family: Bacterial small subunit ribosomal RNA
Source: RNAcentral